GGGCGUAGUUCAAUGGUAGAACACCAGCCUUCCAAGCUGGAUACGUGGGUUCGAUUCCC
Molecule: transfer RNA, 59 nt
Filed under: human gut metagenome
Also listed under: 1 other name
Rfam family: tRNA
About the family: Transfer RNA (tRNA) molecules are approximately 80 nucleotides in length. Their secondary structure includes four short double-helical elements and three loops (D, anti-codon, and T loops).
Source: RNAcentral